RNAcentral lists this ribosomal RNA (495 nucleotides) under uncultured bacterium. Its description in RNAcentral is "bacterial SSU rRNA". It matches the Rfam family "Bacterial small subunit ribosomal RNA", at positions 28 to 521 of the family's 1533-position model. The record is from RNAcentral.
GAUGAACGCUAGCGGCAGGCCUAAUACAUGCAAGUCGAACGGAAUAUAGUUUUCGGAUUAUAUUUAGUGGCGCACGGGUGAGUAACACGUACAUAACUUACCCUCAAGAGGGGGAUAGCCUUGGGAAACUGAGCGUAAUACCCCAUAGUAUUAUUGAACGGCAUCGUUUGAUAAUUAAAGCUACGGCGCUUGAGGAUAGAUGUGCGUCUGAUUAGCUAGUUGGUAAGGUAACGGCUUACCAAGGCGACGAUCAGUAGGGGGCGUGAGAGCGUGGCCCCCCCACACGGGUACUGAGACACGGACCCGACUCCUACGGGAGGCAGCAGUAAGGAAUAUUGGUCAAUGCCCGGAAGGGUGAACCAGCCAUGCCGCGUGAAGGAUGACUGCCCUCUGGGUUGUAAACUUCUUUUGGAUGGGACGAAAAAACGGGAUUUAUCCUGGACUGACGGUACCAUCAGAAUAAGCACCGGCUAACUCCGUGCCAGCAGCCGCGGU